This 698-nucleotide long non-coding RNA is filed under the name Homo sapiens (human). RNAcentral's name for it is "non-protein coding LINC00882:64". Lineage: Eukaryota; Metazoa; Chordata; Mammalia; Primates; Hominidae. The record is from RNAcentral.
GUAACAGAUGAAGAAAGGCUAUGGAAGAGACAGAUUCUGACUGGGGCUGUGGCUGAGAUGUCACAUGGCAGAUAGGAUCACAAAUUUCUGUUGUAUCUGGAUGGAGAUCAGCAGGAGGAUCUAUGGGUGAGAAGAAGCACAGUUACAGAUGGAUUCUAGAGCCUGCUUGCUGACACAGGCUUGCAACUGCGGACUUUAUAAGCUUAGUUUUUAAUCUGCUAUCAGCUAGCAUAAUACCAUAAAUGCAUAAGAAACUAAGUAUUCAGUCUUACGAGAAAUGCUAUCUUGACCUGACCCUUUCUCCAAAUAAAUUGACAAAAUAUCUCAUCGUCUAGGAUGCCAGACAGAAAUACCAGUUGCAAUGUUUUGUUGCAUAAAGUUUAUCCUAAUUUAAAUUAGUGGCAUAUAAAGUCAUCAUCUUGCUUGAACAAACAUCUUAUUAAAUUGAGCAUGUCUUUUAUCCCAUGAAAUGAAAUUAAUUUUGAGAUAGUUAUUUUUCAGUUGGAAAUUUAUUGAGUUGAUAGAAAACAAGUUAUAUAGUCUUCCAAAGAAUAUGUUACAUCCAUUUGCAUUUUGUUUUUCUUCAGCAAUGUUUGGUUUUUAGAAAAUCUUACAAGUUAAAUAUACUAAUGUAGAAAUUGAAAGAAAAUAAUCAGAGAUAGAGCAAUAAAUUUGCAAAUAAAGAUUAUUCUUAAAAC